GGGGUGGUGUUUUUGACGCUUUCAUUGGUUGAUGUUGUUUCAGAUAAAGAUAGGAAAGGUGUGGUGUGGGAUUCACGAGACUCAAGCUGCUGUAAUAUCACUAGUUACUAUUGUGGCUUUUGCUCUCUUCAUUUAUUUACCUUCUGCUGUGAUAACUAUUUCCCGUUGUAUGUUCAAGUCUUUGCACACUGGACAUCGUUAAAUGUCUUUGUAAUGGUAAGGCCGAUCAAAUUGGAAUAAUUAUAUGUUUAAGGUCGAAAUACUAGCAUCAGCAGUGUCUUUAUAUUGAAUAAAAAUGAGACAGAUCGGAUUGGCAUUUGUUUA
Molecule: unclassified non-coding RNA, 324 nt
Filed under: Hevea brasiliensis (rubber tree)
Lineage: Eukaryota; Viridiplantae; Streptophyta; Magnoliopsida; Malpighiales; Euphorbiaceae
Source: RNAcentral